GGGGUUUUAAUUUGCAAAAGAAUUUUAGAUAAAUUAAAAGAAUUCAUUCCUGGUAUGUUAAUUAUUUCAAUACAACUAGAGUAGUGGCACCAUUGGAGUCCGUUAGUAAACUGAAAUAAUUGAUGAAAGCUGAUACCCACAGGUUAACGUAAUAAUUACUGUAAGCUGCCAUCGGACUUCGGAGGCUAAUUGGAAGCUCACACUACUAUAACCUAACAG
Long non-coding RNA from Leptopilina heterotoma, 219 nucleotides. RefSeq lists it as uncharacterized. The transcript is spliced from 3 exons. NCBI's taxonomy places the organism in Eukaryota, Metazoa, Arthropoda, Insecta, Hymenoptera, Figitidae. The record is from RefSeq and is a predicted model, not a curated record.